UGGCACAAAGGAUUAAGCACUUGGCUGCUAACCAAAAGGUUGGUGGUUCAAAUCCACC
This 58-nucleotide transfer RNA is filed under the name Loxodonta africana (African savanna elephant). The record is from Rfam by way of RNAcentral. Lineage: Eukaryota; Metazoa; Chordata; Mammalia; Proboscidea; Elephantidae.